UACGGGGGGAGCAAGCGUUGUUCGGAUUUACUGGGCGUAAAGGGCGCGUAGGCGGCGUGGUAAGUCACUUGUGAAAUCUCCGGGCUUAACCCGGAAAGGUCAAGUGAUACUGCUGUGCUAGAGUGCGGAAGGGGCAACUGGAAUUCUCGGUGUAGCGGUGAAAUGCGUAGAUAUCGAGAGGAACACCUGCGGCGAAGGCGGGUAGCUGGGCCGACACUGACGCUGAGGCGCGAAAGCCAGGGGAGCGAACGGG
RNAcentral lists this ribosomal RNA (253 nucleotides) under uncultured bacterium. RNAcentral describes it as "partial 16S ribosomal RNA". It matches the Rfam family "Bacterial small subunit ribosomal RNA", at positions 524 to 776 of the family's 1533-position model. The record is from RNAcentral.